GUGAUAAGGAGCCAUGGACAGACUUCUGUGUCUGAAAUCUCUAAGUCCAGGAGACAGAGUGAGGCCUCCCUGCACGCCUUUGUGCCAGGCCUGGGGAAGAGAGAAAAUCAUGUGAGUGCCUGCAUGUCUCCCAGCCCUGCAGGAACAAGGAGACCUGCUCAAGGGUGUGUUUUUCCACUUUUGCCCAUGAGGAAGCAGGCCUCUGCCACUGAGAGAACGUAGGGUCAGAAAGACCUACACUGGAAUCUGGUUCCAUCCCUUUCUAACUGUGUGACCUUGGGCAUGUCACUUAACCUCUCUGAGCCUCCAUUUCUUCAUCUAUAGAACAGGGAAGAAGAAAACCUGCCUUCUAGAGUUGUUUUGAAGAUUGAAUAAAAUACAUUCUAUAAAGCCCUGAUAGAUGAACUACCCACCGCUCUUCCAUCUGUUUCCUUUUUCUGGCUCUCUCAGCUUCUUGGUGCAUUGAGAGGGCACCUACCUCAGGCAGGCCACACAUCCAAAGCUUUGGUCCUUCUCCAGGGACCAUACAUCACAGAAAUCCUGUGUCCAACACAAGUUUCAGGAAAGGCUCCCUCCAGCAUUACUGUAAGUUCUUAAGUUGCUGAGGUGGCAUAAGAGUCAAGCACAAAAAAUAGCCCAGCCUCCAGAUCCCAAGGAAGGUGCAUGCUCAGAGCACUGUCCUUCCACCCAGUCCUCUCACCUGUCACCACAAGAGCCUUGAGUGUCCAAGCUUCAGCUCUCAGCCGCUCACUGGCAUCCAGGAGAUACUGUCCGGGGCUUGCCUACCCCUGCACAGCAGGCUGCCUGCCUCAUUGGUUGGCUCCUGAAUGUUUGGUAAUCAUAAACCCUAGGGUCAAAGAGCUGGACCGUAACACAGCAGGGAGCCCAGUGUGCAUUCUCCUUUGUGGUCAAAGGGAAUGACCUGGAAGGGGAGACUCAAGGUCUGGGAUCGCCUGGGGUCCUUGCCCUUCUGGAAGGCCUGCCACCUCUCUUGGCUGUUCAGGCCCCGAGCAUCUCUCUGCCACCUGGCACACUUGGUACUCUCUGAGAUACACCCUGGUCCCUGUACACAUAUACCGCGAGCCUGAGAACUGUGCCAUUCACCCUGUACUCAUUCACCACUGAGCAGAAGCCGAGUCCCCAGGCUUGGCAAGAAGGCCCUCCCCAGCUAGGCUUCUCCCCACUGAGGUUUCCCUGGUCCACGAAGCAUUGAUAGUUGGCAGUUCCUUGCACUCACCUCACCAACUCCUGCCUCCACCCAUUCAUUGAUUCAGUCAACAGUUGUGUGCGAUGCACUUCCUGUGUCUGGGGGUCAUUUCAGCCAUGAGCAAGGUUGACAUUCGGAUGACAGACAUGGCUGUGUGUGGCUGGUGUGUGUUCUGGCUGUUGGUCAGAGGCUGUGCCAUACCCAUUGUUAAAUAUUUUGCACUGCAGAUGUUGGGGAGGCCCAAAUUCAUGCUCUUGUACCCGACGUAGAGCUGAUGCCAAACACACACGUUGGGGCUUGGAGACAGAGAAAGUUUUAUUCGAUUUGGCCAAAGCAAGAAGGCAGGAGAGCAAGAUCUCUCAAAUUCACUUCAACAAAGAAGCAGCAGCAGAACGUUUUUAUGCAGCUAGAGAGUGAGGAAGGGGGAGUUCAGGUGGAUUGAGAGGAAAAGUCUGUGUUUCCUCAAUCUCAGAUAACACCUUGAGCAACCAGGCUUCUGGAUGUCAGCAGCUGGUCACAGUGUCCUUCAAGGCAUUCAUUCCUUCUGCAAACUUUUCCUGACCCUGAAGGUAUGUCUUCCUGCUGGGCAAAGAAACAGUACAUAAGCAGUUUAUCAUUAUAUUGUGGGAACAAGGAAUAUUGGACCAAAAGCAAGUGGUUAACAUAUGCAAGCCAGCAAGGGCCUGAUCAGAAGGCCCUAAAACAUGCUGGGGUGCUGAAAUCUCAAGGGGCCCGAUUACAAGGAUGAAAUGUACACGAGAUAGGCAAAAGCAAAACCUAACAGUAAAAGCCUGUUUCCACACCAAAUUACAUGCUAUUGAAGGGAAAGCUCCCUUCCAAAGAUUAGCUAACCUAUUGAUGAUCAACCAAGCUGGGCCUGUCAUCUAGGUUAGGUAGUUUGGACUCUAUUCCAAGAGCAAUGGGAGGACAUUGAUAUGCACGGAGGGGAGGAGGGGUGUGUGUGUGUGUGUGUGUGUGGUGUGUGCGUGCACAUCAUUCUGGCUGCAGGUGGACAACAGAUCUGAAGAGGUAGGAAUGGAAGCAGCUACCCCUUAUGGCUCGUUCAGCAUCCAGGCAGGAGCAGGUCCCCCAGUACAGGGAUGUGGGUGCUCACUGUACAAGAGCAGCUGGCCCAGAGGGGCUGGUGGGAGCUAAAAUCGGGCCUCCCUCUGAUUGCCAAGCCAUGAGCCAUGGCACGAAGCUCAGACUGGCCAAAGGAAAAGGCAACCUUUUCUUAUUUGCUCAAGGGCAUUGCUUGCCUGCUAAACUCUGCAUCCAGUGGGCUGCAUGGCUUGAGGCUGUGGGUAGCUCUGGAUUCAUAAAGAAGCCACCUGGGCAGCAGAUGCCCAUGUGACAGCAGUGGCUUCACCAGAAGGAGGAAGUCAAGAAUGUGAGACAUGAGCCACAGGGAGGUGCAUUUGGGGACAGAAAUGGCAGGAGUUGGAAUUAUUCACACAGGGAUCAGGAUGAGGAAGGGCUCAGAGACAACAGCCAGGUUUCUGGUUGGGGCAUUCAGGAAAACACUGGAGAGAGCCCAGACUUGGAAAAGUCAAGGCUUCCCCUAAAGCUGCUGCCCUGCAGCCUUCUUCAGCAGAAACUAGAAGCUGGGAGCCAGCAGCAGGAACUCGGGGCUAGUGGGUGGAGGCUGCUGAGAUUCCAGGUCUUUGGCACCCAACACCACUUCCAAGGAAAAGUCUAAGGAGCAUCAAGUCUGGGCAGUAAGUCCAUGGCUCAUCUUUAGAGUAUUCUCAGAACAUUUCAGUGUCAAGCAAGAGUUGGCCUAGGAAUCACAAGAGGUGAGCAGCUGCUCCAAAGCACCACUGAGUACUGCUAGUGUGAGUCUGACCAAUAUUCAGAGUUAGAAACCUGCCAGUCACAUGGAGGGGGAGAGGUUUGUGCUCUGUCCCUGUGUGCUAUCUCUCCCUCCAUGCUUGCUGGUGGCUGUGGCUUCCUCAAAACACAACCACCUCAGUUGACAUUCAGUCAUCUCUUGCUCCCAGGAUUUAGGAGAGUAACUUCUGUAUUUGUGUAGCUUUCCUGAUAGAAGCCUGGACUUUCCUUGUCAGACCUGAAAGAGUUAUUUAUUCAUUCAACAAACAGUGGCCGAGGGUGUAUGGUGUGCCAGACCUGGAAUUGGCAUGAAGGCACUAGAUGUCAGAAGCCAGGCUGCUGCCCAGGAGGACACACCUGAUGGGGCUCUGGGAACAGGAUGAUGGUGGAGACAUCACGUCCAGAAUAACUUUGUUAGGAUGGUGAACUUGACAGUUAGGACUUUUAUGUUGCACUUGUUGAAAAGCCACCUAAAAUUGCCAUAAGUAAGAGAGGUGAUCUAAUGGCCCAUGAAACUGCCAACUCCAGGAAGACAGACAGGGUGACCUGACAGUAGGUUUGACAUGUUGGUUUUUCUGCCAUUCUGUGCGUGGCGUCAGCUUCCUCCCAAGACUGACACUACAUAGGACAUUAGGUGUUUGCCAGCCCAGUUGAAGCUGUCUGCUUCCUUGCUCACCACCAGCAGAAAGGUGGGGUCUAUGCCCCGCAUUCCAGGUGACAGCGAAGGUUUAUGUGGGGACUCAGUCACACUUUCCGGAGACUGUACAUUUCAUAGCAGAAUCCAGGUUAUAUGAAAGGAGUCCUGGCCCAAGGAUACCUGCACCCCAUAGAGAUGGAGAACCCCAGGGAGCACAGGGGCUGAGGGGCUGAGUGACAGGGAGCACUGCCCACAGAGGGGGCAUCCUGCAAUCAGGAAGGGUAGGAAACGGGUGCAGAUCAGCAGCCAACAGAGGCCCACCCAGGUGAGCACAGGUGGAGUUGCUGGUGAGGUGAAGAGUGUGCUGGUCGGGAGGGGAGGGCUGGGGACCAGUAGCCGGUUUGGGAAACCAAAGCUGGGCAAAGGGUGUGCCAAGGCCUGCAGUGGGGCCUGUUAACAAAAACAUCAAACUGUUAAAUGAUCUGAAAGAGGUAUUUUCUGAGCCAAUAUGCGUGACCAUGGCCUGGGGAUCUCAAGAGAUCCUGAAAACGUGUGCUGGGGCAGUCGUUUUCUACAUUUGAGGGGACAGGAAUUGGAGUAACAUCCUAAAUCCAUCCAUGGAAGGUAUACAUUGACUCUGUCUAACACGGUGGGAUAUCAUGAAACGGCGGGGGACAUUAUAGGUCACAGGUGGAUUCAAAGAUUUUCCAGUUGGCAAUUGGUUGAGAGUUCAGCUUUGUCUAAAGACGUGAAGUUGGUACAAAGGAAUGCUUCAGUUCAGAGAGAGGGUCUGCCUCUGCCAUGUGAUGCUGUCCCAGAGUCAGGUAGGAAAGUCAACCACAGCAUCCUGGGUCAAUUUAAAACCCAUUGAAGGAGACUGUGGUUUCUAGGGUGUGUGUUAAUUCUUGCCUUGCAAGGCCUUAAGUCUUCAUUUUCAAUUCCUAAAUAAAGGGAUGAGUCCUGGAGCUUCUGGAAGCUGGCCUGGAGCUGAGCACUUGCCACAGACAAUGCCCAAAGUGCAAACCCAAAGGCGCGUGGAUCUGGGCUGCAUGUGAAAGCUUUCAUGUUCAGGUCUUACUUUGCGACAGUGAGGGGUGACCGGGGAAGCCUACAUGAGGGGUGGGGGCCGACCAGCAGCCCAGCCUGGGGAACUGCCUUAACCGCAUCUCACCUCACUUCCUCAGGGUUCAGGUUUUCUUGAAGGGAACAUGCAGAUUUGUACAAAAUACCAACAAGCUGAGAUUUUAAUUUUUUUAGCAAUAAGGAAAAAUAGAAAUUUUCACUCCAAGCACCCCAUGUUAAGCUCGGCCGAACUGGUGGCACAUCUCAGGAGUCAUGGGGCAACGCUUUCAGAAACAGUGUUAGGGCAAAAAGCAAAAGCAAAAAAAAAAAAAAAGACAGUGAAGAGGCUUAAUUCUUCUUGUUAAGGGAAGAGGUGUCCUCUGUCACUUUUCUUAGAGCAUUUUCUUUAGAAAACUUGUCAUUUUAAAUCCUUCCUCUGCCCCUUUGAGGGACAUGCAAAGCUUUUUGACAGCUAAAUAAGCCUUUUGCCAGUUUUGCAAGGUCUAUGUCCCUGAAGGACCUGGGAGUCCAGUCUUUGAAACGUUAUCAUCAGAGCAGCCAGGGCCCUGUCUCCCAGUCUCCAUGGGAGGGCGGGAACCUAACUUUUGCCCUAUGUGAUAAAUCAACUUCUAUCGUAAAGAUAAGGGUUGUUUUUCCUUUAUAUGAAGUAAAAUAGCAGAUGCAGGUUGUUGAGUGAAUUGAGGUUGAAUCUCUGAUGAACCUGGUGUGACCAAAAGUGCUGUGCAGUCCCCUGACCUGAGGACUAGGCAUGGCUUCUCUUGAGAAUGUGUGCAAUGGUUUGGACCCCCUGGCUAGAUUAGCGGUGAGAUUUUUUUCUGUCUUUGCAGCGUCUUAGCGGAUCAUUGCCUGUGUUGCGCAUCUCGCUCUGGGUUAAUGCUUUUUCAAGGAUAAAAGCGUUGUUCUUUCUCUUCUUCCUCUGCAGAGAGGCUUGCUGGGAUGGGAGAAGAUUUUAUUUGUAAUUCCAUUUCUCCAUGACCAGAGGAUGGGCUCUGGGGGUCAGGCAGCUGGGAAGAAGUUUAGAACCCAUGCCUAGGCCUUCCCCAAGGCUCAUGCACUCAGUUCAGCAGUAUCAGAAACACUACCUGGAAGACCCCAUACUGUCUGGAAAGAGGAAUUCAUUUUCUUUCAUUGCUGACACUCCUGGGUGAGUGUGUGUGGUGGUUACCCAUACCCUAGUCCCACCCUGUGCCCCUCCUCCACCUCAGGGGGCCCCAGGAGGCCUGGCCCUCCUAGACCAGGGCACCCCCAAGGGAGACUGGGGGUUGGGGGUCCCACCAGGGUGCCAGGUGUUGGUCAAAGUGAAUGUGAACUAGAAGGAAGGAGAUGGAGCCCUCUCCUGGGAACCGGACAGGGACAGGGAUGGGGUGGGGGUGCCAAAGAAGCCAUGGCUCUGGACUGGGGCCGCCAACCUGCCCAGGCAGCUGGGGCUGACUCCUUGAAGUUGCAUUUCUGACUCCCCCUCCCACAUGCAGGCUCUUGGCCCACUGAGGCCUAGAGGCAAUGGCAGGUUCACUGUGGGCAGGGUUGGGGGCAUGGGGUGCCCUGGGGAGCUGGGGGUUCCUGUGGAGCAGUGGUAUGGGUCCCACCCUGGCCACCCCAUCUGCCCAGGCUCCACAUGUGCCCCUGCUCCCCCUGGAAAGACCCUUCUCUGUCCCGCUGGUGCACCCCUCCCCUCAACUGGGCCUCCACCAGGGAGAAGGGCCCGAGUUCUGCCGAGGCGUCCCUCUGAGUGACCACCCACACCUGAGCCAUCAGUCAGGUCCCUGCAAGGGAGCUGCCCCUGGGCCUGUGCUCCCCCGCCCCUGGCUGGCUGCACCUGGGCUCCAGAUACAUGUCCCCCGGCCAGACCCCAUUGCUCGGUUAGGCCCUUCUCGCCACCCCUCAGCUCUUCUCCCUAGGGAACAGUAUCAUCACCAACUUCUCAUAUCCUGUCACCGUCCACCAGGAGAGCAGGGGCGGAGGACCCCGCUCGUGCAUAACUGGUCCCAGGCAGCCGACCUGGGGCUCCACGGCUCUUGCUGCCGCUGGAAGUCGGGCCAAGGCUGGUGGCACACACAGGUGUGUUCCUGCUGUCAGGGGAACACAAGACAAGGCUGUUUGGCCUUGGGCUGAUCUUUAGCCCUGGACCACCCAGCCCCAGGUACUUUAGGCCAAUCUGCUGAUAAGGCCAUAAGUGCCUGAUAACCAAUCAGCAGGGUACCCUCCCGGCAGCCUCAAGGGUGACUGGGUUUCUACCACACCCUAAUGCCAGGUCUUCCUCUCAGCAAGUUCUACCCAGAAUACCCUAUUUCACAAUGUACUUCACCACUAGCCCACCUGGCCAUGCCCUAUCCCCAUAACUGGCUCUGAGUUUUCUUGUUACCUUCUAACCUGCUCUAAAUGCUAAGGAUAUGCAUCUGUUGUUGAUUUCUAUUUAAUAGGCUCUGCAAGCAGGGAUCUUUGGCUCUUCGGUUCACUCAUGUAUGUUAAGUGCCCAGAACAAGCCUGGCAGGUAGUAGGUGCUCAGUAAGUACAUGUUGAGUGAGUGAACAAUAGACAAGCAGUUUGUGUAUUCCCAGUAGGGCAGGAACAGGGAAGAGAAACAUUUUAUUGGGAAGCUAACAAAGCUUAGGCUUCAAAGUUCCUCUUUCCCCUGCACCAGCCCCUUACAAAAAACAAAAAAACCUUCUGUGGUUUUAUAAUUUUAUAUUUUGAAAACAGGCUCCAAAACGUAUUUGCCUCAGGCUCCAGAAAACCUGGAUCUUCCUUGAGGGUCGUGCUGCCUACUGGGUGAAAUAUAGAUUUUAACGUCAAACAGAGCUGCGUUCAAAUCCUAGCUCUGCCUCCUGCAAGUGUCUUAACCUCUCUGAACCCCCCUCUCCUAAUUUGUACAAGAGGAGUAAUAUCCCCACAUGUGUAAGACUCAACAGGGUGGGAAGGGCACGUUUGCAGUAAUGACUGAUUGUAUCUAACCUGAAUAUUCAUAUAUGCAUUCCACAGUUUCUUUUGUAUGUAUCCAUUAUAACAUAAUUUUAAAAACUGAUGACAAGAUCUGGUUUUCAAAACCUUUCUUUAUUCUUUGUGGAAUAAAGUUCAUGGUACAAAUAUCGACAGAGUCGAAGGCUUCUGUGAUGGGUCAAGUGAGAUGGGGCCUGGGAAGUGACUGAUAUUGACCACAGGAUGCAGCAACAUGGGGAUGACUGAUGACCUUGACAGGAGCAGCAUUGGUUCAGUGGUCCCCAAAGACCUCCGGACAGGGGAAGGUUUCACAGGAGAGGAACUGGAGCUGAGUGCAGAGGACACUGUGGAGCAGUUUUUCCACAGAGUGAAACAAGGAGAUGCCUGGCAGCUGCGGAGGAAGGUGCAGUCAAAAAGCCUACUGCCUAGAACAUAAAGGGAAGAAGCAAUAGCUGUUUUUCACCAAGAAGUUAUUAGAUGCCUGGCACUGUGAGAAAGACGGUUUCCCACGUCGUGCAAUUUCAUGUUCACAACAGCCUUGGAGCUAAGGAACCUGAUUAUAAUAGCUCAUUGCAUUGUUGGAGUCGCUGUUAUUCCCAGAGCUGUGGGGUUUGAGAGCAGUGUGUCAGUGCCACCCCAUGCUGCAUCCAGGAAGAUCUCUCCUCCACUGGAUCAGCCCAGCUGGAAAGUGGCCAGUGAGACGGAAGAUGGACAAUCCAGCGGCAGUACAUUCUGGAAGUCUCAGGGGGAAGAGAAAAAUCGAUUUAACUACGUUAAACCUACAUUUAACGUAGGUUCCUGGAAAGGACAUAAUCUCCCCCGAUCUCUCAUCAAUAACCCAACAUCAGAUCAGUGCCCUGGACUUAUCGUUUGAAGGGGAAUGAAAGUAGACAGAUAGGUCUUCCUUGGUUAGAUGUCCCGAAAUCUGAGGGCGAUGGUCCUAGCUCUUCAGAGAGGACACAUUCUUUAACCUAACCUUUUAACAAGUUCUCUACAGGAGAAGAUACCAGGUCCCAACACUUCAAGUAGCUUUAUAGACAUAGGUAAUCGAAGGACUAAUUAUGAAGGUGUAGAUAGGUAGAGGGGAGCAACAAGGAUGGCACAGGAACCCAUAGUCUGAGGAGGAGGGAGAGUCAUUGGAACCUGAAAGGACCUGGGCAGAGCAGGCUGUCCUGAGAGCUGGCCUAGGGCCAAGGCACAAUCAAUACCAAGCCUGCCUCAUGCUCUCUUCCCUCCACUCCUCAACUUGCUGCUGGCUUUCAGAAAAGUUAAAAACUUGCCGUUUCUAUCCUUUUGCCAUUGUUGUCAUGUUAUAAGGUGGGGAGCAAUAUUGUAUCCAACUUUCUAGUUAUCGAAGUGGAAAUCAGGUGUAUAUAGCCAGUAUAUUUGCACCUAUUAGUAUUCUUAUUGGUAAUGCUUUCUAGAUGUUAUCUAACUGUAGCUUUGCAUUUUCUAUUUGAUUCAAAAGACAUGUAAGAGAUAACUUUUUCAUAAUUC
Molecule: non-coding RNA, 9191 nt
Organism: Macaca mulatta (Rhesus monkey)
Lineage: Eukaryota; Metazoa; Chordata; Mammalia; Primates; Cercopithecidae
Source: RefSeq, a predicted model, not a curated record